Molecule: ribosomal RNA, 468 nt
Filed under: uncultured bacterium
Lineage: Bacteria
Description: partial 16S ribosomal RNA
Rfam family: Bacterial small subunit ribosomal RNA
Source: RNAcentral
GACGAACGCUGGCGGCGUGCUUAACACAUGCAAGUCGAACGGAAAGGCCCUGCUGUUGUGGGGUGCUCGAGUGGCGAACGGGUGAGUAACACGUGAGUAACCUGCCCUUGACUUUGGGAUAACUUCAGGAAACUGGGGCUAAUACCGGCUAGGAGCUCCUGCUGCAUGGCGGGGGUUGGAAAGUUUCGGCGGUUGGGGAUGGACUCGCGGCUUAUCAGCUUGGUGGUGGGGUAGUGGCUUACCAAGGCUUUGACGGGUAGCCGGCCUGAGAGGGUGACCGGCCACAUUGGGACUGAGAUACGGCCCAGAGUGCUACGGGAGGCAGCAGUGGGGAAUAUUGCACGAUGGGCGGAAGCCUGAUGCAGCAACGCCGCGUGCGGGAUGACGGCCUUCGGGUUGUAAACCGCUUUCGCCUGUGACGAAGCGUGAGUGACGGUAAUGGGUAAAGAAGCACCGGCUAACUACGUG